UGGGGAGUCGUCCAACGGUAGGACAUCUGCCUUUGGAGCAGAAGAACCAGGUUCGAAUCCUGGCUCCCCAGCCA
RNAcentral lists this transfer RNA (74 nucleotides) under Acidobacteria bacterium RIFCSPHIGHO2_01_FULL_67_28. RNAcentral describes it as "tRNA-Gln". It matches the Rfam family "tRNA". From Rfam's summary of the family: Transfer RNA (tRNA) molecules are approximately 80 nucleotides in length. Their secondary structure includes four short double-helical elements and three loops (D, anti-codon, and T loops). Further hydrogen bonds mediate the characteristic L-shaped molecular structure. tRNAs have two regions of fundamental functional importance: the anti-codon, which is responsible for specific mRNA codon recognition, and the 3' end, to which the tRNAs corresponding amino acid is attached (by aminoacyl-tRNA synthetases). tRNAs cope with the degeneracy of the genetic code in two manners: having more than one tRNA (with a specific anti-codon) for a particular amino acid; and 'wobble' base-pairing, i.e. permitting non-standard base-pairing at the 3rd anti-codon position. The record is from RNAcentral. Lineage: Bacteria; Pseudomonadati; Acidobacteriota. RNAcentral also lists the same sequence under 4 other names.